Molecule: small nucleolar RNA, 115 nt
Organism: Rhinopithecus roxellana (golden snub-nosed monkey)
Lineage: Eukaryota; Metazoa; Chordata; Mammalia; Primates; Cercopithecidae
Source: Ensembl
CAGUGCACAUUGUUAUAUUGGGGAAAACAUAUUUCUGAUGCAAUGAACACAUUUUUGGAGAUAAAUUAGCAGCAUUACAAAUUUUGCCAUUGCUGUCAGUCACCUUCAGACAAGU